Thunnus maccoyii (southern bluefin tuna) is the source of this 418-nucleotide long non-coding RNA. RefSeq lists it as uncharacterized. NCBI's taxonomy places the organism in Eukaryota, Metazoa, Chordata, Actinopteri, Scombriformes, Scombridae. The transcript has 3 exons. The record is from RefSeq and is a predicted model, not a curated record.
UCCCCAGACAGAUCAUCUCAACAUCUUCAGAGAUUUCACAUCAGCUGACACCAGUUUCCUCCAGAACAUCACUGACGCUGCCUGAACUGCUGCAGACUCUGAAGCAGCUGUAGGACCAGAGUAUCAGCCUUCACACCAAGUAAACCAGAGAACCACAACGCCAAGAGAAAUACAAGAUGUCUGCUCGUCGUAUUCCGUACACUGCAGGAAUGAGAUUAAGGAGAAGGAAAAUAUUCAAAGAUGAACACCUUAGAGACCAUCCUGAUACUCUUUUUUAUGACACUACAAAUGAUAAUGUAAUAUGUGACCUAAUUUUCUUUACUACUUUUGAAGAAGACUGGAUAGCUGCCAUAAUGCAGCACUACCCUAGGACUGAUAGAAUUCAACUGGAAGAUAAAAUCAAACUUGACCUCCACAG